This is a long non-coding RNA of Malaclemys terrapin pileata, 1533 nucleotides long. RefSeq lists it as uncharacterized. Lineage: Eukaryota; Metazoa; Chordata; Testudines; Emydidae. The transcript is spliced from 3 exons. The record is from RefSeq and is a predicted model, not a curated record.
UCUCGCCGCACUCCACCUCGAUGCACGGCUCCCCGUUGUCAAAGAAGGGCUGGAAAUCCGGGAUGGAGGAAAAGCGCUCCAGCAUCAGGAUGGAGCAGGUUCCCUAUACUGGGGUGCAAAGGGGCAGUGGGGUGCACUAUAACAGGAAGACUGAUGAGGACCGAUGUGCUAUGAUGGAAUAAGCGAUCAAGAAAAGAAAACAAUCAGAAAUGAUCAAUUUCCAGCAUUUUACAUUAAAUAUGCCCAACAAGUCUUGCAAGGUCGCCUCCAUAAAAUUACCUUGACAGUAUCACACCAGCUACGGGAAGCAGAUGUUUGUCCCUGAAACAUGCUAUUGAAUUGCCCUGAGUUUACUGAAAGACAGGAGCAAGACCAGUCCAAUAACCAUGACACCGCUUCCCGAGCCAAUCAAGCUUCUGCCUGCCCCAGAGGACAUCAGGCUGUCUAACAGCCAAGACUCUGGGCUUUUUAUCUUUUGUUGCAUGCCAGGUGUAGCCCUGCCAUGUGAUGCUCUGUGUUCACUGCAGCAUGCGAGCAGCCCAGCAGUGCUGCCGGAGUCACGCUCAGUGGGAUCGGUACUGGAGGUAAUGCUAGCCUCAGGCCAGACUGCUUCAUUAUGGGAGAUAUUUUGACAGCCGGGCAGUAAGAGCAACAGCAGGCAGGGCACAAGUGGGACUUCUGGGGAAGGGGUGUGGAGACAUGGAGAAGGGUUCUGCUGUUCAACCUCACACACACACGGGAAUGCUGGGUUUGACCCUUUUCAAUCCAAUUGAGACAGCGGUAAAUCUUUUACACCAAUUUAUUGGAAUGAAAAAGAAUCACUGAUGGAUACAAUGAGAUUUUUUCCUUUCCUGUUUUCUGAAAGAGGGUCAACGCUGACAUGAGGUUACUGCACCAACCUGAACCUGUACACUGCAAACGCCCCCGUCUAACACACGUCACUCUGAUUGUGCAUUUCGCGUGCUUUCCCAAGAACAGCCUGGUACAACAUGUGUGGCAUAAGGAGAUCUCGCCUCAUCAAGCUCUCUUCACACAACACCUCCUCCAAAUUCGCCUUCCCUAGAAAAGUCAUCUGUAAGCCAGGAGACUUAACCCAAAGACUUAGGCACUCCCAGCUCUGAGAGAAUAAAGUGGAGGAGGGAGGGCAGUGAUUUAUGUGAAAGCCACAGAUAUUAUCUCUAAACUAUCUGCUCCCUCCCUCUAAAUAUCCAAUAACUCCCCAGGCAGGGCAUGCAUUUCCCCCCCUCACCCUCCCGGAUAGUUUGCAUUAUCAUUUACUAGGUAUACUGACCUAUGUCAGUAGCUUUGAGAGCCUUGCAUGCCAUUAGACAAUGCCACACUAAGAAUUCCACAGUUACAGCACCAGAAAGUUGGGAAGUAUUGACAGCAUAGGCACGACUGCAUGGGUGCUCUGGGGCUGGAGCACCCAUGGGGAAAAAGUAGUGGGUGCUGAGGGUGCCCACCGGCUACCCUCCUAUCAGCUCCCCUCUUUCCCCCAGUGCCUCCCGCCUGCCCAGAGGCCCCACUUAUCAG